UUAGUGUGAGAGAGAUAUUCGCACGGGUAAACGGGCGAACCGGUUGUGUGACCUUGGAAGGUAUACAUGGGUUAAACAAGCGCAAAAUACAGUUUGCGUUUUAACCUAUGAUGGUGUGAGGGCAGAUGUCGAUUGAGACUGAUAUGGUAUCCAGUAACCAUAGUUUCCAGUCCUAUGUGGGCAAUACAAACACCAUUAUCACUAACUGAUGCAGUCCUGUGUGGGUAGCUGUUGGUGAGAUGUUAAGUUGACAACUAUUGGUGAGCUAUCCUGUGUGGGCAGCUAUAUGCAUCGUAAGAAGUCCUGUGUGGGCAGAUUUUUAUGUUAUGUCCUUUGUGGGCAACCAUAUCUCCAUAUGUCCAUAUGUCCUGUGUGGGCGGAAGUAACUUUAUACAGACCUUUGUGGUCAACCAUAUUUCCAUAUGUCCUGUGUGGACGGAUAUAACUGUAUACCGACCUUUGUGGUCAACCAUAUUUCCAUAUGUCCUGUGUGGGCGGAUAUAACUGUAUACAGACCUUUGUGGACAACUUUAUUCCCAUAUGUCCUGUGUGGGCAUAUUAUAUCUACAUUUAUGUGGCAACGUUGAGCAGAUACAUAAACUUGUCUUGACAACCUUUGUCUGGAGUGUAACAACUUUCUAUGUGGACACUAUACGUCAGACACUAUACGUCAGCCGUCAUUGGAAGUAUUUGUGGAUUGCAGACCACCUGCUUCAGAGUGUAUGUAUGUGUAUGUUAGUUGUGAGAAAGUUGUAUAUAUUGCUAUUAUUGCAUAUGUGACUGUUAAAUAUGUACAUUAUUGUAAUAAACUCAUGUAUAUAGUGUA
Long non-coding RNA from Pecten maximus, 826 nucleotides. RefSeq lists it as uncharacterized. The transcript has 2 exons. The record is from RefSeq and is a predicted model, not a curated record. NCBI's taxonomy places the organism in Eukaryota, Metazoa, Mollusca, Bivalvia, Pectinida, Pectinidae.